Microtus oregoni (creeping vole) is the source of this 103-nucleotide small nuclear RNA. The record is from RefSeq and is a predicted model, not a curated record. Lineage: Eukaryota; Metazoa; Chordata; Mammalia; Rodentia; Cricetidae.
GUGCUUGCUUUGGUAGCACAUGUACUAAAAUUGGAACAAAACAGAAGAUUAGCAUGGUCCCUGCACAAAUGACAUGCAAAUUCGUGAAGUGUUCCAUAUUUAA